Pelobates cultripes (western spadefoot toad) is the source of this 615-nucleotide non-coding RNA. The record is from the annotation of a GenBank genome assembly. Lineage: Eukaryota; Metazoa; Chordata; Amphibia; Anura; Pelobatidae.
CUCACAUUCACUUGUACCCAACCCUACAUUCAGUCUUUACACAAACACCCUACACUCACAACACUCAUCCACCCCACACUCAUUAACAUCAUUUAGACAUCUGAAAACACACACAUUCCUCAAAUAUCACACUCAACCUCAUUUGCUCAGAGGAGCACUGUGAUAUAGUCAUGUACUCUGCACAUAGCUGAGUUUUAUUGUGGAGCUCUGUGAUACACUCAUGCACACUACACAUUACUGUAAGUUUUGUUGCUAUGAAGGUCUGUUACACUUCUACACAAUCUGGUGCAGAUCACUUUAAGAGGUACCUCAGGCUCUAGGUGUUUCUCACUGACUCAAAGUGCUAUAUCUAGCUCUCUGAAUGCCAGGACUGCGAGGGAAGUGAUCUGCACAGGAUAGAGGCGCAGUCUACAAUGCUCCCCCCUGGACAAUCAGGGAUCCUGUGCAGAACGCACUCCACUGGACCAUGAGGGAUAAGACCCCCCUCCUGCCAAAACGUAAGAUGGAGGGGGCAAAUAAAAAAAACUUACUCACAACAUUCAACCUGCACAUACAGGUAUACAUCUGGAGUGCCAAAGCUUGCCUACCCCGGGUAUAGAGUAUCAGCAUAUUUAG